AUCUAUAGCCAUACCAACCUGGAGGCACCUGGUAUCAUCUGGUCUCAGAAGCUAAGCAGGGUAGGGCCUGGUUAGUACUUGGAUGGGAGAGAGGCUAAGUUACCUGCCAAGGUCAUGACUAAGGUAGACU
Molecule: non-coding RNA, 130 nt
Organism: Cavia porcellus (domestic guinea pig)
Lineage: Eukaryota; Metazoa; Chordata; Mammalia; Rodentia; Caviidae
Source: Rfam